GCGCCCGUAGCUCAAUUGGAUAGAGCAUCUGACUACGGAUCAGAAGGUUGGGGGUUCAAGUCCCUCCGGGCGUACGA
Molecule: transfer RNA, 77 nt
Filed under: bacterium
Lineage: Bacteria
Description: tRNA-Arg
Rfam family: tRNA
About the family: Transfer RNA (tRNA) molecules are approximately 80 nucleotides in length. Their secondary structure includes four short double-helical elements and three loops (D, anti-codon, and T loops).
Source: RNAcentral